GACGAACGCUGGCGGCGUGCUUAACACAUGCAAGUCGAACGGAAAGGCGCUGCGUUUGUUGGGUGCUCGAGUGGCGAACGGGUGAGUAACACGCGAGGAACCUGCCCUUGACUUUGUGGUAACUUCAGGAAACUGGGGCUAAUACCGGAUAGGAUCUCCUGCUGCAUGGUGUGGGUUGGAAAGUGUCGGCGGUGCUGGAUGGACUCGCGGGUUAUCCGCUGGUUUGUGUGGUAGGUGCUUACCAAGGCUUUGACGGCUAGCCUGCAUGAGAGGGUGACCGGCCACAUGGGGCCUGCGAGAGGGAGCAGACGCGAACGGGAGGCAGUAGUGGGGAGUCUUGCAGAAUAGGCGGAAGCGUGAUGCAGCAGCGCUGCGUGCGGGAUGCUGGCUUUCGAGUGAUAAACCACUUUGGAAUGUACCGAAGAGUGAGUGACGGUAAUGAGUAAAGAAGCCACGGCUAACUACGUG
RNAcentral lists this ribosomal RNA (468 nucleotides) under uncultured bacterium. RNAcentral describes it as "partial 16S ribosomal RNA". It matches the Rfam family "Bacterial small subunit ribosomal RNA", at positions 28 to 507 of the family's 1533-position model. The record is from RNAcentral.